Molecule: ribosomal RNA, 381 nt
Filed under: uncultured bacterium
Lineage: Bacteria
Description: bacterial SSU rRNA
Rfam family: Bacterial small subunit ribosomal RNA
Source: RNAcentral
AUUGAACGCUGGCGGCAUGCCUUACACAUGCAAGUCGAACGGCAGCACGGGAGCAAUCCUGGUGGCGAGCGGCGAACGGGUGAGUAAUAUAUCGGAACGUGCCCGGUCGUGGGGAUAACGUAGCGAAAGCUACGCUAAUACCGCAUACGAUCUACGGAUGAAAGCGGGGGAUCGCAAGACCUCGCGCGAUUGGAGCGGCCGAUAUCAGAUUAGGUAGUUGGUGAGGUAAAGGCUCACCAAGCCGACGAUCUGUAGCUGGUCUGAGAGGACGACCAGCCACACUGGGACUGAGACACGGCCCAGACUCCUACGGGAGGCAGCAGUGGGGAAUUUUGGACAAUGGGCGCAAGCCUGAUCCAGCAAUGCCGCGUGCAGGAUGAA